RNAcentral lists this ribosomal RNA (251 nucleotides) under uncultured bacterium. RNAcentral's name for it is "partial 16S ribosomal RNA". It matches the Rfam family "Bacterial small subunit ribosomal RNA", at positions 107 to 354 of the family's 1533-position model. The record is from RNAcentral.
UGAGUAACGCGUGUGCAACCUGCCCGGCACAGUGGGAUAAUCCGGAGAAAUCCGGUCUAAUACCGCAUGACGCGGGAAAGGCGCAUGCCUUUUCCGCCAAAGGAGGCGACUCCGGUGCCGGCUGGGCACGCGUGACAUUAGCUAGUUGGCGGGGCGACGGCCCACCAAGGCGACGAUCAGUAGCCGGCCUGAGAGGGUGGACGGCCACAUUGGGACUGAGACACGGCCCAGACUCCUACGGGAGGCAGCAG